Molecule: transfer RNA, 58 nt
Filed under: Apaloderma vittatum (bar-tailed trogon)
Lineage: Eukaryota; Metazoa; Chordata; Aves; Trogoniformes; Trogonidae
Rfam family: tRNA
About the family: Transfer RNA (tRNA) molecules are approximately 80 nucleotides in length.
Source: Rfam by way of RNAcentral
UAGCUCAGUCGGUUGAGCUUGGUGCUGAUAACACCAAGGUUGAGGGUUCGAUCCCCGU